Molecule: ribosomal RNA, 317 nt
Filed under: uncultured eukaryote
Lineage: Eukaryota
Description: partial large subunit ribosomal RNA
Rfam family: Eukaryotic large subunit ribosomal RNA
Source: RNAcentral
AUAUCAAUAAGCGGAGGAAAAGAAACUAACAAGGAUUCCCUUAGUAGCGGCGAGCGAAGCGGGAAGAGCUCAAAUUUGAAAGCUGGCGUCCUACGGGCGUCCGCAUUGUAAUCUAUAGAGGCGUUUUCUGUGCUGGACCGUGUCCAAGUCCCUUGGAACAGGGUAUCAAAGAGGGUGAGAAUCCCGUCUUUGAUCCAGAUGUAGCCUUCUAUGUGAUACGUCUUCAAAGAGUCGGUUUGUUUGGGAAUGCAGACCAAAAUGGGCGGUAAAUUCCAUCUAAAGCUAAAUAUUGGCGAGAGACCGAUAGCGCACAAGUA